GGGACUGAAAGGUUUCUACAUAUUGUUAAAAUUCAUAAUUACAUAUAAGGUUAUAAAAAUUUUAAAUAGUAAUAUUUUUACAUCUAUUUAAUAUAUUUUAAGCUAAGUGCAAAACACAAUAUAAUAGUUUUCUCCAAAAAAAUAGUAUUAGUCUAAUUAAUCUGGAAAAUUAAAUAUUAUUCUAUAAUUUAAAUAUUUGAUAUCCUAUUCAAUAUAUGCUCUUGAAUAAAAAUUUUAAAAUUUUUUUAAGCAAAGUAUUUUUUAUUUAUAGUCAAUAAUAAUUUUAUUGACUUUUAUUUAUAAUAACCUAAUUAUGCUGUAUCAAUAUGGACGUGGGUUCAAUUCCCUCCAGUUCCA
RNAcentral lists this non-coding RNA (357 nucleotides) under Thuretia quercifolia. The record is from RNAcentral. Lineage: Eukaryota; Rhodophyta; Florideophyceae; Ceramiales; Dasyaceae.